UAAUACGGAGGGUGCAAGCGUUAAUCGGAAUUACUGGGCGUAAAGCGUGCGUAGGUGGUUUGUUAAGUUAGAUGUGAAAGCCCUGGACUCAACCUAGGAACUGCAUUUAAAACUGGCAAACUAGAGUAUAGGAGAGGAAAGUGGAAUUUCAGGUGUAGCGGUGAAAUGCGUAGAUAUCUGAAGGAACAUCAAUGGCGAAGGCAGCUUUCUGGGCUAAUACUGACACUGAGGUACGAAAGCGUGGGUAGCAAACAGGAUUAGAUACCCUGGUAGUCCACGCCGUAAACGAUGACAACUAGCCGUUGGGAGGAUUUACCUCUUAGUGGCGAAGCUAACGCGUUAAGUUGUCCGCCUGGGGAGUACGGCCGCAAGGUUA
Molecule: ribosomal RNA, 376 nt
Filed under: uncultured Gammaproteobacteria bacterium
Lineage: Bacteria; Pseudomonadati; Pseudomonadota; Gammaproteobacteria
Description: bacterial SSU rRNA
Rfam family: Bacterial small subunit ribosomal RNA
Source: RNAcentral